AGUGUCGACAAAGCGCCAGCCCCGGCACUCAGCCGUUGAGCUGUUUUAUAGGAAGUUUCCACAGCUAUCUUUUUUGAUACAAACUGGAGUUGGAAUUGGCUUGCUGUUACUCCUGAGUGCCGGGUGACGAGGAAGGGACUUAUCGAAAGUAUCGGCGGAUGGUCCCUCGGUGUGCCACCAUCGUGAGCCUUGCUACAAAACCUACCGGCAACGGUCGGGACAAAAGGCAAGGCGAGUGGAGAU
Molecule: non-coding RNA, 243 nt
Filed under: Syntrophothermus lipocalidus
Lineage: Bacteria; Bacillati; Bacillota; Clostridia; Eubacteriales; Syntrophomonadaceae
Also listed under: 1 other name
Description: GlcN6P sequence
Rfam family: glmS glucosamine-6-phosphate activated ribozyme aptamer
About the family: This entry contains a glucosamine-6-phosphate activated ribozyme that is found in the mRNA for GlmS. GlmS is an enzyme that uses fructose-6-phosphate and glutamine to generate glucosamine-6-phosphate. The ribozyme catalyses self cleavage of the glmS mRNA that is thought to regulate GlmS activity.
Source: RNAcentral